UACGAAGGGUGCAAGCGUUGUUCGGAAUUACUGGGCGUAAAGCGCGCGUAGGCGGGCCGGUAAGUCGAUUGUGAAAGCCCUGGGCUCAACCCGGGAAUUGCAGUCGAAACUGCCGGUCUUGAGUGCCUGAGAGGAUGGCGGAAUUGCCGGUGUAGUAGUGAAAUACGUAGAUAUCGGCAAGAACACCUGAGGCGAAGGCGGCUAUCUGGCGGUGCACUGACGCUAAGGCGCGAAAGCGUGGGGAGCAAACAGG
RNAcentral lists this ribosomal RNA (253 nucleotides) under uncultured bacterium. RNAcentral describes it as "partial 16S ribosomal RNA". It matches the Rfam family "Bacterial small subunit ribosomal RNA", at positions 524 to 776 of the family's 1533-position model. The record is from RNAcentral.